GGAGCCGCCCCGGAGGAGGAGGAGGAGGGAGAGACGCAGAGGAAGAAGGAGAGGAGAUCUCACUGCCUCCUAGCUGACAGCCCGCAGCCCGCCCGAUGCGAGAGAAGCUCCCCCGGUAUUAGUAUGGCCACCCCUGCCACCUGCACCCGCUUCACGGACGAAUAUCAGCUGUAUGAGGAGCUCGGCAAGUAAGGAGCUCUGUGACUGGGGGACACAAAAGACGACUGCUGGGGGGAAAGACUGCUGGGAAACGACUGACUGGCGAGACUGGGGGAAACAAAGACCUGACGCUGGGGGAAACAAAGACUGACUGCUGGGACAAAGACUGACUGCUGGGGGACAAAGACUGACUGACUGCUGGGGACAAAGACUGACUGCUGGGGGGACAAAGACUGCUGUUGGGGACAAAGACUGACUGCUGGGGACAAAGACUGACUGCUGGGGGGACCACAAAGACGACUGCUGGGCAAAGCUGACUGCUGGGGCAAAGACUGACUGCUGGGGGACAAAGACUGACUGCUGGGGAGGGACAAAGACUGACUGCUGGGGACAAAGACUGCUGGGUGGGGGGGACAAAGACUGACUGCUGGGGGGGGACACAAAGACUGACUGCUGGGGGACACAUAAUGGGGAUAGAACAUAGCUCGGGCACCUGGGGACAGGGCGUGAAGGAGGGGUAACAUUGUCCUCACAGCCUGGGUAUCAGGGUAACAUUGUCCUCACAGCUGGGGUAUCAGGGUAACAUUGUCCUCACAGCUGGGGUAUCAGGGUAACAUUGUCCUCACAGCUGGGGUAUCAGGGUAACAUUGUCCUCACAGCUGGGGUAUCAGGGUAACAUUGUCCUGACAGCUGGGGUAUCAGGGUAACAUUGUCCUGACAGCUAGGGUGUCAGGGUAACAUUGUCCUGACAGCUAGGGUAUCAGGGUAACAUUGUCCUGACAGCUAGGGUAUCAGGGUAACAUUGUCCUGACAGUUGGGAUACUGCUUGGAUUACAGAGUAAUAUUGUCCUUUAGAGCUGGGAUUGCAGAGUAAUAUUGUCCUUGGAGCAUGAGAGAACAGGGUAUAAUAUUGUCCUGACAGCCUGUGAGAGUACGGUAACAUUGUCCUUAGAAUUGGGGGUAGCAUGGUGAUAAUAUCCUGACUGCCUGGACAGUCGGAUAACAUUGUCAUCAAAACUGGAAUAGCAGGGUAACAUUGUCCUGACAGCCAGGGAGAGCAGGGUAACAUUGCCAUCAGAAUUGGGGAGAGCCGGACAAUUUCCUGACAACUGAGAAGAACAGGGUGACACUGUUCUCAGAAUUAACGACAUUAGGGUAAAACUGUUCUCUAUAUUGGGGUUAAAAUUACCGUAGCAGCUGGGGAAAGCAGUGUAAUUGUCUUUACAGAAAUAAGGAGAGCAAGGUAACAGUGUCCUCAGAAUUGGGGAGAGCAAGGUAACUGUCCUGACAGCUGAGGAGUGCAGCAUAACAUUGAGCUUGUUAUAAGAAAUCUCUUUACUGGCAGCUGUUGAGGAGAAGUAUUAUUGCCCUGACAUAUGAUGGGGUGGGUAACUCUAGCUUGACCGCACAGAAGAAGGGGCAACUCUUGUCCAUCACUAGACAAAGUAACACUGACACUCAGCAGAGAGGAGUAACACUUGCCUGACAGACAGAUUUAACGAGGUGUAAAGCUGUCUUAACAGCCACAUUAUGUUGUAAUGGGGGCUUAUAAAGUGACAUUGUAGUAACAAGAGAUUUAAAAUAAUACAUAACUGUAUUCCUAAUACUAGUGUCUUUCUGCCGCCCCCACCUCGGUGUUGAAAGGGUAAAGAAAAACAACCUUUUAACUCUUACCUUAAUUCCAGCUCCAAGGUCCCUUGGCAAGGGCUAUGUCUCCUCCUCUAGAGAUGUCAUGCUGACGGAGGACCUAAUGAGCAUGCGCGCCUUACGCGCAUUAGAACUUUCCCAUAGGAAAGCAUAGAAUCAGUGCUUUUCUUGUUUUGAAGACGCUAGACAUCAUCAUGCAAAGCAUGAGGAUGUCCAAUAUUGUUUCAUGGAAUGCAGGAAAUGCCUCUAGUGGCACCCUGGAAAACAGCCACUAGUGGCUGUCUUAACCCUGCAGAAUGUGGAGACGCUGAAUGCCAGUGCUGCACACUGGACUAGGAAACACCUCUUGUGGACAUCUGAGUGACUACCACUAGAGGUGUUACUUGGCAGCAACGUAAACAUUGCAUUUUCUCUGAAAAAGCAGCUUUAACAUUGAACAGCUUGCAGAAGCAGGUUAUAGACACCAGCACCACUACAUUAACAUGUAGUGGUUCUUGGGACUAUAGUGUCCCUUUAAAUUAAUGAAGGCUGGGCAUUGGAUUAAAAAGUAGCAAUCAGAAAAGGGCAGUUUCUGCAUAGAUAUUGAGGCAUUGGCAAACUGGCACAAAGGGCAAUUUCAACUCCGUGACAGAAUCCUAUAAUGCACCAUUAUAAUUUUCAGCCAUGUUGGGGGGGCGUGAGCGAGAUGCCAGAUACGUUAGGUGUACUGUGUACCAGAUUCCGGCUCAGGUUACCUGUGGACCUUAGCUGUUCUAGUAUAACUCUUUAUCAUGAUAAGAAAGCAUGUGUGUAGUUGAUGCUUAUCUGCUUAUUAGGUCAAUAGCUGCUUUAGGGACAACACUCAACAUUUUAAAAUAAAGCAUGUGUUUCUACUAAGAAAUAAUAAAAAAAAAAAACAGCAGGAUGGAUUGUUUAAUAGCUUGCAUCUGCCAUCAAAAUCUAUUUACUAUGUUAACACUGAUCUAGGCAGUGGGAUUAAAACACUGGUUCUGUGCUAGGAUUUGGGAAAAUUUAUUUUAUUUCUAUAAUACUCUCAUUUAGUUAUGUCUAACUUUUUAAACCUCAGCCGUUUGUGUACUAUUUUCAUUUGACUCUCAGCCAGCCUGUUACGUGGGCAAGGUGGGAAACAGUCCACAACAGCUGCAGUACCAUAGUAUAGCCAUCGCUGUUCUAGAACAUCUGGACCAGGAUGCAAAAGCUAUAGAAAGGGGGACGAAGGAUUGGUGUGUUGGGUACAUUAUGCACCAGCUGCACUAUCACUGCCCUAAUAGGCAUUCACGUUCAUUUUAAGAAGUGUCUACGCACCGUGUAUUUCUUCGUUCUUUGUUUUUCUCUUUUUAGAAGUUUGGGUGCACAAGCACCAGCCUGUAUUUUAAACAUAGUAUCUGUUUAGGAAAAGAUCCAAUGCCCUCUGGGGUUUUUGUACUUUGUGUGUUCUAGGAAGGGAAGGAAAAAGGAACGCAUGUUGUGCAAGCAUGAGAUGGAGGACAUGGAGGUUAAAUAUUUAAGCUCAUGUUAUAAGGCAGACAAUAUAUAAAGCAGUUUAAAUAAAAUAUUGAUAGACAGGAAAAUCUUUUGCACAACUUCUAACAGUGUUUUUUUUUUUUCGUUUUUAAAAAAAAAAAUUUUUUACCCUUUUAUCUCCUGAAGUCACUUGGGGAACACAAUUAUAAUUACCCUCGUCAGAUACACAUUUGUUCCUCCCCCCCAGCACUCAACAUAGAUAUCCCUAGUAAAAAAAUAAUUGUUACUCUGUUCAUGCCUUUUUUUUUUUUUUUGAGACAAAAACUCCCAUGAUCCACAGACGGCUAUUGUUGGAAUUUGCAACAUGUAUAGAUUAAAUAUGUUGUCCAAUCAUACCCUAAACCUAUAACUACUACGCUACUGUUCAUCUGUCUCCUUAGCCCUCUAGCCAGCUAGACAAGGAAGUCAUACUUGAUGUAAGCAAACGCAUGCAUACAUAGAGCCAAGCAUUUUGGAUUUUAGUACACAAUGCUAAAAUGAUCAGCUGCGUAUGUUAACCGCUCUGCUUCUUUGAAAGGAGUUAAGAGCAGGUGUCAGUGUAAAUGUGUUUUUUAUAAAUAAAUAUUUUUAUUUAUUUUUAGCAGAUCCUCUUGAUAACUGCAUUGCAGAAUUUAGUUGUCAAAUCCUCCCCCCCCUUUUUUUUUUUUUUUUGCGGUCUUCUUUGUUCUGCUCUCAUUGACUGUCUGUCCUUGUUAGGCUUGUCUUGAACAUGGUGGGGUGGGAGUAUUGUUAGCAUAUGGACAGAAAGCUGUAAACAUCUGUUGCUAACCCCCAGACCUUGCUGCUAGUUGCUCAUGUGUUGGGUAGAGCUUAUCUUUUCUGCUUUGUCAUUAUCAGAAAUUGUUGCAGUAGCCUUAACUUUUAAGUGCCGGAACAAUUGUGCUUUGAGGUCCCAGGGAAAUGGGUUAACCAGAAUGCCCAUUUUUGGCUGAUAGCAUUCAUGGGUGUGCGCUGCUUCCGUAAUCUGUAUGGUUUCAAGUUACUAAUAAUGAUAUCCUUAAUAUCUUCUUUUUUUCAUUCUAUUUUAAAAACAAAAUAGUCCACUGCUCCCUAUUAUGCAAUGCGAUAUUUGAUAUGGCUUAAUGGAGAUCUUGUUUUUUUUUCACGCUAGUAGAAGCUGUAGUGAUUAUGGUACUUGAAGUAUCCCUUUAUCAUAAGAAGGAUCUUUAAAGAAACACAAUUGUCAACCGAACCAUUAUAGAUAAAAGGGACACUACAGGCAUCCAGACCACUUCAUCUUAUUGAAGUGGUCUAGAUGCAGUGUCACUGUCCCCUUAGCCCUGCAAGGUAAAACAUUUACAUUUUAGAGGAGCUAGUGUUAACACUGCCUCUAGUGCUAGACAAGAGGUGUUUCCUGUAUUUACACAGAGUUUUAUUCUGUGAAACAAUGCUGUACAUCCACACGCUUUGCAUUAGGACAUCAAGUGCCUUCAAAAACCCCAUAUGAAAGCAUUGAUUCAUUGCAUUCCUCUGGUGAAGCUGUAAUGCAUGUACUUGAUGCGCAUGUGCAUGUCGAUGUGGGAGGAGCCUGUAAUCAGGUAAGUGGGGGGAAAAAGGGACCGUAGAGACAGAGGGACAUUACUGAUAGGAAUAGAGUUUUGUAUUCCUAACAGUAUAGUGUUCCUUUAUUGUGCCCUAGCCUAACAAUGUGUCCGUAUGGGAAAGCAUUGGUGGGGCGGCUGCACAGAGAGCGAUGCAGUAAGGUCUCAAAAGUAAAUAAGCUUUUUUUAAAAAAAAUAAAAAAUAAAAAUUAUAUAUAUAUUUUUUUUAUUGCACACAGGAGGGGGGAGCUGUCAGCUAAAUAGUUAGCUGUACACUAUAGCAAAAUUCAUAUGCCACAGUGUCCCUUUAAAUUUCAAUGUGCUAGAAGACUUUUCUUUUAUCCCUACUUUAACUGAAGUCUGUCAUUCAAAUUUGGAGAUCCUUGUUUGUUGAAGAACUAAAGCUCCCACGAUACUUUAAGUCAGGCUUAGCAUCACGGAGGCUGCAGUUGAGCAACUUAUGGUCAAGUCGACAAAGGAUUUGCAGCCACCCUUGGUCUACUAGGCCCUUAGCUUCAGCUCAUGCAAUAUAUAGCUAAAUAAUCCUGGUAUCUGCAGGCUUGUAAUGGACCUUAAAAGCUUGUUCUUUUUCUUGAUGGUCUCAGUUAUAGAGCAAUAAUAAGAUAAAGAACUACAAAUCAGUUCCUUUCAAAUUUAACAUAAAAAUCAUUGUCAUUUGACUGUUCGAGGCGGUUUAUUUCUUAUGUGAUUGGCACUUGCAAGGUGUAUAUUAAAAUAAAUAAUUAACCUUUAGUAGUCAAUGUACUGGUAGUUGGGUGGGUAUUUUCAAAAAUUCAAAUAAAAAAAUAUGUAUGUUUUGAUCUUUCGGUUUUUCUUAUUUUUAUUUUAGCAAUCCGCACGUUGCAUAGUUGGCUAGGGUUUUCUAUUGAAUGAGAUUCCAUCUUGGUGACAAGUGGAUUCUACAUUAGCGGUUCAAAUUAUUCUAGCAUGGAUUAAAAGGAUAUUCUAAGAUCACUGUGGUGGUUUGUUAUCAACAUGUCCUGGAGUUUACCAUGGUCAAAUAGGAAAUCAUAUGGCUUCCAGGUACUGCUCCUAUCUUGGCUGUAUUGACAAUGUGAAAUUAACACUUCCACUUUAACAAUUUCAAUUUUGUUUAGCCUGGGUAACAUUGAUAGGCUAAAAAUGCUAGGCUAAGCCAUCUUCAAAACUCUCAAAGGCUGUCACCCAAGCUUGAUAAUUCACAUUGAUAAUAUGAAACUAGAAAUUGUGAAUUAUCAGUGUCUGUGAGAGUUUUUCCUAUAUGGUUACAUAUAUUCCUGAUCAUUUAAUUAGUUGUGGAUUUAAAAGGCCAAGCAAAACCAAAAGCAACUCUUCCUAUCCUGCCCUACAAUAUUUAACAUAAAAAAAAAAAAAGAAUUCUAUUUCAGCACCGAGGCCAAGUUCUCCCUGCAGACUGAUCCUCUUCUGGUCACUUCCCCACUAGAGAGAUGUAGGGGGGAGAACAGGCAGAGGGGAGGACAUGGAGGGAUAGGGGCUGUACCAUUUAAUCACCCUCAUCCUGUUUGUUUUGAUGUCAGACAUCGAAUAUGUACAGAAUAGACAUUAGCUAGCCCGGAAUUCCUUGUUCUGCCCCAAUUACAGUGCUGGAGGCAGAGAUACACUAGCGGCACCAUGUACAGCGUUCAUAACAAAAUGCUAUACAUGCUAAGCAUAUACAUACUCCAGGCACCAUAACCACUUGAAAUCACUAAUGUGGUUAUGGUCAAAGACAAAAUAGUCUGAACUAAUCUCCUUUUAGUGAAAGGCAGGUAAGAUGUACACACACACAGAUGUUGUAAAACAACAGCCAUGAUUCUUUACUAACCUUUAGAAUAUUGUACAACAUCUGGGGAUCUACCUUCUAUCCACCCUGGUGUAACCAUUGUGUUUUACCCACCUAUUAAGGUUAACAUGUAAUCUUUACCAAAUAAUAUAUAUUACUGCUGGUGAAUGGUGUAAAGAUUGAUACACAAGCUGCCUUGCAACACUAACGUUGCCAACCAGCUAACCAAGAAUUUUAAUCUGGCUUUUUAUUGCAUUUUCGCUUGGUGUUUGUAGAGGUUAAUACGACAUCCAGAGGAAUGGUACACGUUUGCCCAAUGUCAUUGAAUGAUGCAUCUGUAGUAGAUCUACUACUCUGUAGCUAUCCUAUGAUUUCUGAUAAUGUACCUGUAAAAGACAUAGAUGCUAUAACUAUAGUGCCCUUAUUUUAAAGCCGGUAUUAAAUUACAGGUUUUGAAGAACAAAACAAUAUACUGGCAUUAAAUAUCAUGUAAAUGUUCUAGAAUUUAUUCUUGUUAUGAUUUCUCAACUGUUUUCUAUAUUGUGUUUUUUUUUUUUCAAGGGGUGCCUUUUCUGUAGUAAGAAGAUGUGUGAAGAAAUCUUCCAGCCAGGAGUAUGCCGCAAAGAUUAUCAACACCAAAAAGUUGUCUGCUCGCG
Molecule: long non-coding RNA, 7310 nt
Filed under: Pelobates cultripes (western spadefoot toad)
Lineage: Eukaryota; Metazoa; Chordata; Amphibia; Anura; Pelobatidae
Source: RNAcentral